This 807-nucleotide ribosomal RNA is filed under the name Neomicrosphaeropsis italica. RNAcentral describes it as "eukaryotic LSU rRNA". It matches the Rfam family "Eukaryotic large subunit ribosomal RNA", at positions 81 to 906 of the family's 3401-position model. Lineage: Eukaryota; Fungi; Ascomycota; Dothideomycetes; Pleosporales; Didymellaceae. The record is from RNAcentral.
UAGUAACGGCGAGUGAAGCGGCAACAGCUCAAAUUUGAAAUCUGGCGUCUUUGGCGUCCGAGUUGUAAUUUGCAGAGGGCGCUUUGGCAUUGGCAGCGGUCCAAGUUCCUUGGAACAGGACGUCACAGAGGGUGAGAAUCCCGUACGUGGUCGCUAGCCUUUACCGUGUAAAGCCCCUUCGACGAGUCGAGUUGUUUGGGAAUGCAGCUCUAAAUGGGAGGUAAAUUUCUUCUAAAGCUAAAUACUGGCCAGAGACCGAUAGCGCACAAGUAGAGUGAUCGAAAGAUGAAAAGCACUUUGGAAAGAGAGUUAAAAAGCACGUGAAAUUGUUGAAAGGGAAGCGCUUGCAGCCAGACUUGCCUGUAGUUGCUCAUCCGGGUUUUUACCCGGUGCACUCUUCUAUAGGCAGGCCAGCAUCAGUUUGGGCGGUUGGAUAAAGGUCUCUGUCAUGUAACUCUCUUCGGAGAGAACUUAUAGGGGAGACGACAUGCAACCAGCCUGGACUGAGGUCCGCGCAUCUGCUAGGAUGCUGGCGUAAUGGCUGUAAGCGGCCCGUCUUGAAACACGGACCAAGGAGUCUAACAUCUAUGCGAGUGUUUGGGUGUCAAGCCCGAGCGCGUAAUGAAAGUGAACGGAGGUGGGAACCUUUCGGGGUGCACCAUCGACCGAUCCUGAUGUCUUCGGAUGGAUUUGAGUAAGAGCAUAGCUGUUGGGACCCGAAAGAUGGUGAACUAUGCUUGAAUAGGGUGAAGCCAGAGGAAACUCUGGUGGAGGCUCGCAGCGGUUCUGACGUGCAAAUCGAUCGUC